GAUGAACGCUGGCGGCGUGCUUAACACAUGCAAGUCGAACGAUGAAGGGGAGCUUGCUUCCUGGAUUAGUGGCGAACGGGUGAGUAACACGUGAGCAACCUGCCCCGGACUCUGGGAUAAGCGCUGGAAACGGUGUCUAAUACUGGAUAUGAGCCAUGACCGCAUGGUCUGUGGUUGGAAAGAUUUUUCGGUUCGGGAUGGGCUCGCGGCCUAUCAGCUUGUUGGUGAGGUAAUGGCUCACCAAGGCGUCGACGGGUAGCCGGCCUGAGAGGGUGACCGGCCACACUGGGACUGAGACACGGCCCAGACUCCUACGGGAGGCAGCAGUGGGGAAUAUUGCACAAUGGGCGGAAGCCUGAUGCAGCAACGCCGCGUGGGGGAUGACGGCCUUCGGGUUGUAAACCUCUUUUAGCAGGGAAGAAGCG
Molecule: ribosomal RNA, 425 nt
Filed under: bacterium Ellin5209
Lineage: Bacteria; Bacillati; Actinomycetota; Actinomycetes; Micrococcales; Microbacteriaceae
Description: bacterial SSU rRNA
Rfam family: Bacterial small subunit ribosomal RNA
Source: RNAcentral